UUGGGAAAUUUUGUGACUUUU
Caenorhabditis elegans is the source of this 21-nucleotide non-coding RNA. NCBI's taxonomy places the organism in Eukaryota, Metazoa, Nematoda, Chromadorea, Rhabditida, Rhabditidae. The record is from Ensembl.